AAAGUGCGAUAACUUAGGUGAACUGCAACUGGCGCGAUUCCUUAAAAUUUUGAACGCAUACCGUGCCCCGACCCAACAGUCGGGGCGUGUUUGUUUGAGCGUCUAAUACAAAAUCACACCGUGCGAGCGAUCUUAGGCUUUGCCUCUCGGCAUCGUCUUGAACUGCCGCCGCCGGUGAUCGUGGACCUUGCGAUUCGUUUCGCAUCGUCUCAAAUAAAAGGGCAACAACGUUGCGGGGUAAAGCUCGUUUCGGUCCGUAUGUCAAGGAUGUAUUUCCGACUUUGCGGCACGAACCUCUGCGAUACUCUCGGCGGGACCCCAUUCGAAUCACACUCUAGACCUCAAAUCAAGCACGAUUACCCGCUGAAUUUAA
This 373-nucleotide unclassified non-coding RNA is filed under the name uncultured fungus. Its description in RNAcentral is "sequence contains ITS1". The stretch from base 1 to 104 matches the Rfam family "5.8S ribosomal RNA", at positions 50 to 154 of the family's 154-position model. Lineage: Eukaryota; Fungi. The record is from RNAcentral.